CGUUCCCGGGCCUUGUACACACCGCCCGUCACACCACGAAAGUGGGUAACACCCGAAGCCGGUGGCCCAACCCUUGUGGAGGGAGCCGUCGAAGGUGGGAUCCGCGAUUGGAGUG
RNAcentral lists this ribosomal RNA (115 nucleotides) under uncultured bacterium. RNAcentral's name for it is "partial 16S ribosomal RNA". It matches the Rfam family "Bacterial small subunit ribosomal RNA", at positions 1369 to 1482 of the family's 1533-position model. The record is from RNAcentral.